UACGUAGGGUGCAAGCGUUAAUCGGAAUUACUGGGCGUAAAGCGUGCGCAGGCGGUUGUGCAAGACCGAUGUGAAAUCCCCGGGCUUAACCUGGGAAUGGCAUUGGUGACUGCACGGCUUGAGUGUGUCAGAGGGGGGUAGAAUUCCACGUGUAGCAGUGAAAUGCGUAGAGAUGUGGAGGAAUACCGAUGGCGAAGGCAGCCCCCUGGGCCAAUACUGACGCUCAUGCACGAAAGCGUGGGGAGCAAACAGG
RNAcentral lists this ribosomal RNA (253 nucleotides) under uncultured bacterium. RNAcentral describes it as "partial 16S ribosomal RNA". It matches the Rfam family "Bacterial small subunit ribosomal RNA", at positions 524 to 776 of the family's 1533-position model. The record is from RNAcentral.